Molecule: non-coding RNA, 116 nt
Organism: Ciona intestinalis (vase tunicate)
Lineage: Eukaryota; Metazoa; Chordata; Ascidiacea; Phlebobranchia; Cionidae
Source: RefSeq, a predicted model, not a curated record
CGGUGACUGGGUCAAUUGUUGUUGUUUGUCCUCCAAGACCACCUCCGCUCAUCAAAAGAAGAGGCAAGAGACUGCUGGAUGAACCACCUACCAAGCUUCGUCCUCUUCUUCUUGUG